Molecule: ribosomal RNA, 204 nt
Filed under: uncultured Streptococcus sp.
Lineage: Bacteria; Bacillati; Bacillota; Bacilli; Lactobacillales; Streptococcaceae
Description: partial 16S ribosomal RNA
Rfam family: Bacterial small subunit ribosomal RNA
Source: RNAcentral
GCUAAUAACCGCAUAAAAUUAGAUUAUCGCAUGAUAAUCAAUUGAAAAGGUAGCAAAUGCAUCACUACCAGAUGGACCUGCGUUGUAUUAGCUAGUUGGUGGGGUAACGGGCUCACCAAGGCGACGAUACAUAGCCGACCUGAGAGGGUGAUCGGCCACACUGGGACUGAGACACGGCCCAGACUCCUACGGGAGGCAGCAGAC